This 375-nucleotide ribosomal RNA is filed under the name uncultured bacterium. RNAcentral's name for it is "bacterial SSU rRNA". It matches the Rfam family "Bacterial small subunit ribosomal RNA", at positions 29 to 417 of the family's 1533-position model. The record is from RNAcentral.
AACGAACGCUGGCGGCAGGCCUAACACAUGCAAGUCGAACGCCGUAGCAAUACGGAGUGGCAGACGGGUGAGUAACGCGUGGGAACAUACCCUCCGGUUCGGAAUAACUCAGGGAAACUUGAGCUAAUACCGGAUACGUCCAAGGUUUUAAUCGGCCUUGGAGAAAGAUUUAUCGCUGGAGGAUUGGCCCGCGUCUGAUUAGCUUGUUGGUGAGGUAAUGGCUCACCAAGGCGACGACGGGUAGCCGGCCUGAGAGGGCGACCGGCCACACUGGGACUGAGACACGGCCCAGACUCCUACGGGAGGCAGCAGUGGGGAAUCUUGCGCAAUGGGCGAAAGCCUGACGCAGCGACGCCGCGUGAGGGAUGACGGCCU